RNAcentral lists this long non-coding RNA (1464 nucleotides) under Anser brachyrhynchus (Pink-footed goose). Its description in RNAcentral is "lncRNA (ENSABRG00000003264.1)". The record is from RNAcentral. Lineage: Eukaryota; Metazoa; Chordata; Aves; Anseriformes; Anatidae.
AGGAAGAGAAAGAACCACUCCAGUCUGAAUUGUGCAAGGAAGAGGACAUGGAGUUUAAAAAGGGGCCCCAAGGAGAGAAAGGGGUUUUAGGAGAAGAGAAGAGCUAAACAAGAGCACACGCAAGUGAAAACCUGGAAAUUUAACCAGAAGUUUUGUGUUUCUGUAAAGUAGUAAGUAUCUGCAAAGUGCAGGGGCUUCCAAACCUUGAUAUCCUGGCAGGGUAUCUAUUAGCCUUAAAUGUCAGAAGCACAAAAUUGCAUGUUGGCUAGUGGUGUGGUAACCCUCCUGCUGCUGUGGUUCACCUUUGUAGAAGAUAACCCUGUUACUGCCAAUUUGUUAGGUCUGUGGUCUGGUCCUCAAGGUCAGUGCAUGACUCAAUUCUUGUUGAAAGAAGAGAUUAGUAUCCUACGUUACACCCUACACGUUGCAUGACAUACUCCCUAGUUUAUCUGUUUUUACCAAUUUUUUUCCUGCCUAUGUGAGAAGAUUAAUGUGCAUAUAUGCAGAGCUGAGCUUGCAAUAAAUGUCCCAUGAAAAAUCUCAUUUUUGCAUCCUCAGGGCAUGCUUUUAUUUAUUUAUUUAAACAAAUAAUCUCUGAAGUCUGUAGAAGACAUACAUAAGUAUGUGUUGUGGUGUAACCUGCGAGCCUGUUUACUGAGAUAUAACUCUUUAUUUAUUGCUUUGACAAAGUAAAAUGAUGUUUAUCAUGAAAAGCUACAUUGACCUCUCACUGAGUGCUAACUCAUGGGCUUGCACGUAUUUCCUGUGAUGAAAGUAGAAAGAGACCUUGACCCAUGUUGUUUUCUGAAGCUUUGAAGUUGGUCUUAGUCUAUUACUAGUUGUAGUUGAAGUUCAAAGUAUAUGUGGGAUGCUGCUUGAGAUUCUUAUGUGCUAUAGUUUUGUCUUUAAGUUUUAGUGUCUUCUCUAGGCAUCUGCUCUGUUUUUAAAGAGCAUGGCUUGUACUUGUGUGGUUUGUCUAACACUAUACAUGUCAGGAAUCGUGUGGUUAGACUCAUGCUUUUUGACAUGGGAGGAGUUCAGCUGGAUUAAAGAAUGGAAAAACUUCAAAGCUGUCUUGAAGUUUGUAUCCCCACAGCUCAUGAGGGAGGAAAGGAAAGACAAUCACAGUAAUCUUUUCCUACAGAUAUUUUGGAGAGUACUUCAAAAUCAAAUAAAAACCUAAUGACUAGGCCUCCACUCAUAUUGUUACUUUUUUUUUUUUCCUUUUUCUUUUGGAAGUGUUUUAAGAUUGGUUCAGCACCACAGGGAUGGAUAAUAAGAUUGUAGCUGAUAGAGGGGAACUAAGGACUUCAACGUUUCUAGCACAUGUUUAGACCAACUCACUUAUUCUGCCUAUUCCAGACAAGCAGGUCUAUAGUGGUAACCAUAUUUUGGAGUUUCUUUUAAACUAAUCCCAAUGAAUUAAUGGGUCAAGUACUAACCAUCAUAAAAAGAGUAUCUGAC